This 269-nucleotide long non-coding RNA is filed under the name Nicotiana benthamiana. RNAcentral describes it as "long non-coding RNA (NBEN_LNC004105)". The record is from RNAcentral. Lineage: Eukaryota; Viridiplantae; Streptophyta; Magnoliopsida; Solanales; Solanaceae.
CCACAUAGGAAAAUAAACUAUUGAAUUUAUCUUUAUUUUUCCCUUACUUCACCAUCUCUUUUCCCUUACCACGAGUAACUCCACUGCCAUCGCCGAAAAAUUCUUCCGGUCACCGGAAAACACCAUUAAAAUUUUUAUAGUGUUCAUUCAAUUCUAAGAGCUUUGUAGGGGUUUUAAUGAACUAACUUUGCUGCCAGUGACAUAUACGCACAAAAAGAAACAGUAAGAAAAAAAGCAAGAUAUAUGUUUUGUUUACCGUUGUUAGUCUC